CCAAAGGCUCUUUUCAGAGCCACCCACUCAUUCAAUGAAAGAGCUU
Regulatory RNA element from Meleagris gallopavo (turkey), 46 nucleotides. It matches the Rfam family "Histone 3' UTR stem-loop". Rfam says of the family: The mRNAs of metazoan histone genes lack a poly-A tail. 3' end processing occurs at a site between a highly conserved stem-loop (modelled by this family) and a purine rich region around 20 nts downstream (the histone downstream element, or HDE). The record is from Rfam. NCBI's taxonomy places the organism in Eukaryota, Metazoa, Chordata, Aves, Galliformes, Phasianidae.